Molecule: ribosomal RNA, 604 nt
Filed under: uncultured bacterium
Lineage: Bacteria
Description: bacterial SSU rRNA
Rfam family: Bacterial small subunit ribosomal RNA (bases 1-522)
Source: RNAcentral
CCUACGGGAGGCAGCAGUGGGGAAUAUUGGGCAAUGGAGGAAACUCUGACCCAGCGACGCCGCGUGCGGGAUGAAGGCCUUCGGGUUGUAAACCGCUUUCAGUAGGGAAGAAGCGAAAGUGGCGGUACCUACAGAAGAAGCACCGGCUAACUAUGUGCCAGCAGCCGCGGUAAUACAUAGGGUGCAAGCGUUGUCCGGAAUUAUUGGGCGUAAAGAGCUCGUAGGUGGUUCGUCACGUCGGAUGUGAAAAUCUGGGGCUCAACCCCAGACCUGCAUUCGAUACGGGCGAUCUAGAGUGUGGUAGGGGAGACUGGAAUUCCUGGUGUAGCGGUGGAAUGCGCAGAUAUCAGGAGGAACACCAAUGGCGAAGGCAGGUCUCUGGGCCAUUACUGACACUGAGGAGCGAAAGCGUGGGGAGCGAACAGGAUUAGAUACCCUGGUAGUCCACGCCGUAAACCGGUGGGCACUAGUUGUGGGAACCUUCCACGGUUUCUGCGACGCAGCACGCAUAGUACGCCCGCCGUCGGGUAGGUACGACGCGCGAGAAUAAACUAACAAUAGAAGUAGACGCGNGAGAGCGCGACGACGACGACGAGGGAGGAGG